AGGUGAUCCAACCGCAGGUUCCCCUACGGUUACCUUGUUACGACUUCACCCCAGUCAUGAAUCACAAAGUGGUAAGCGCCCUCCCGAAGGUUAAGCUACCUACUUCUUUUGCAACCCACUCCCAUGGUGUGACGGGCGGUGUGUACAAGGCCCGGGAACGUAUUCACCGUGGCAUUCUGAUCCACGAUUACUAGCGAUUCCGACUUCAUGGAGUCGAGUUGCAGACUCCAAUCCGGACUACGACGCACUUUAUGAGGUCCGCUUGCUCUCGCGAGGUCGCUUCUCUUUGUAUGCGCCAUUGUAGCACGUGUGUAGCCCUGGUCGUAAGGGCCAUGAUGACUUGACGUCAUCCCCACCUUCCUCCAGUUUAUCACUGGCAGUCUCCUUUGAGUUCCCGGCCGGACCGCUGGCAACAAAGGAUAAGGGUUGCGCUCGUUGCGGGACUUAACCCAACAUUUCACAACACGAGCUGACGACAGCCAUGCAGCACCUGUCUCACGGUUCCCGAAGGCACAUUCUCAUCUCUGAAAACUUCCGUGGAUGUCAAGACCAGGUAAGGUUCUUCGCGUUGCAUCGAAUUAAACCACAUGCUCCACCGCUUGUGCGGGCCCCCGUCAAUUCAUUUGAGUUUUAACCUUGCGGCCGUACUCCCCAGGCGGUCGACUUAACGCGUUAGCUCCGGAAGCCACGCCUCAAGGGCACAACCUCCAAGUCGACAUCGUUUACGGCGUGGACUACCAGGGUAUCUAAUCCUGUUUGCUCCCCACGCUUUCGCACCUGAGCGUCAGUCUUCGUCCAGGGGGCCGCCUUCGCCACCGGUAUUCCUCCAGAUCUCUACGCAUUUCACCGCUACACCUGGAAUUCUACCCCCUCUACGAGACUCAAGCUUGCCAGUAUCAGAUGCAGUUCCCAGGUUGAGCCCGGGGAUUUCACAUCUGACUUAACAAACCGCCUGCGUGCGCUUUACGCCCAGUAAUUCCGAUUAACGCUUGCACCCUCCGUAUUACCGCGGCUGCUGGCACGGAGUUAGCCGGUGCUUCUUCUGCGGGUAACGUCAAUGAGCAAAGGUAUUAACUUUACUCCCUUCCUCCCCGCUGAAAGUACUUUACAACCCGAAGGCCUUCUUCAUACACGCGGCAUGGCUGCAUCAGGCUUGCGCCCAUUGUGCAAUAUUCCCCACUGCUGCCUCCCGUAGGAGUCUGGACCGUGUCUCAGUUCCAGUGUGGCUGGUCAUCCUCUCAGACCAGCUAGGGAUCGUCGCCUUGGUGAGCCGUUACCCCACCAACAAGCUAAUCCCAUCUGGGCACAUCCGAUGGCAAGAGGCCCGAAGGUCCCCCUCUUUGGUCUUGCGACGUUAUGCGGUAUUAGCUACCGUUUCCAGUAGUUAUCCCCCUCCAUCAGGCAGUUUCCCAGACAUUACUCACCCGUCCGCCACUCGUCAGCGAAGCAGCAAGCUGCUUCCUGUUACCGUUCGACUUGCAUGUGUUAGGCCUGCCGCCAGCGUUCAAUCUGAGCCAUGAUCAAACUCU
This 1529-nucleotide ribosomal RNA is filed under the name Shigella flexneri K-227. RNAcentral describes it as "16S ribosomal RNA". Lineage: Bacteria; Pseudomonadati; Pseudomonadota; Gammaproteobacteria; Enterobacterales; Enterobacteriaceae. The record is from RNAcentral.